UGGGGAAUAUUGGACAAUGGGCGCAAGCCUGAUCCAGCAAUGCCGCGUGAGUGAUGAAGGCCUUAGGGUUGUAAAGCUCUUUCGCACGCGACGAUGAUGACGGUAGCGUGAGAAGAAGCCCCGGCUAACUUCGUGCCAGCAGCCGCGGUAAUACGAAGGGGGCUAGCGUUGUUCGGAAUUACUGGGCGUAAAGGGCGCGUAGGCGGCCUGUUUAGUCAGAAGUGAAAGCCCCGGGCUCAACCUGGGAAUAGCUUUUGAUACUGGCAGGCUUGAGUUCCGGAGAGGAUGGUGGAAUUCCCAGUGUAGAGGUGAAAUUCGUAGAUAUUGGGAAGAACACCGGUGGCGAAGGCGGCCAUCUGGACGGACACUGACGCUGAGGCGCGAAAGCGUGGGGAGCAAACAGAUUAGAUACCCUGGUAGUCCACGCCGUAAACGAUGAAUGCUNGACGUCGGGGUGCAUGCACUUCGGUGUCGCCGCUAACGCAUUAAGCAUUCCGCCUGGGGAGUACGGCCGCAAGGUUAAAACUC
This 528-nucleotide ribosomal RNA is filed under the name uncultured bacterium. RNAcentral's name for it is "partial 16S ribosomal RNA". It matches the Rfam family "Bacterial small subunit ribosomal RNA", at positions 355 to 902 of the family's 1533-position model. The record is from RNAcentral.